GGGCUUGUAGCUCAGUGGACUAGAGCACAUGGCUACGAACCAUGGGGUCGGAGGUUCGAAUCCUCCCAUGCUCG
This 74-nucleotide transfer RNA is filed under the name Gloeochaete wittrockiana. Its description in RNAcentral is "tRNA-Arg". It matches the Rfam family "tRNA". From Rfam's summary of the family: Transfer RNA (tRNA) molecules are approximately 80 nucleotides in length. Lineage: Eukaryota; Glaucocystophyceae; Gloeochaetales; Gloeochaetaceae. The record is from RNAcentral.